RNAcentral lists this ribosomal RNA (706 nucleotides) under uncultured bacterium. Its description in RNAcentral is "bacterial SSU rRNA". It matches the Rfam family "Bacterial small subunit ribosomal RNA", at positions 9 to 702 of the family's 1533-position model. The record is from RNAcentral.
UAGCUUGAUCCUGGCUCAGGAUGAACGCUAGCGGCAGGCUUAAUACAUGCAAGUCGAGGGGCAGCAGUCCCGACGCAAGUCGGGAGCUGGCGACCGGCAAACGGGUGCGGAACACGUACGCAACCUUCCUUUAACUGGAGAAUAGCCCCUCGAAAGAGGGAUUAAUACUCCGUAACAUAUUUUGAUAAGGCAUCUUAUUAAUAUUAUAGCCUUCGGGCGGUUGAAGAUGGGCGUGCGCCUGAUUAGAUAGUUGGCGGGGUAACGGCCCACCAAGUCUGCGAUCAGUAACUGGUGUGAGAGCACGACCAGUCGCACGGGCACUGAGACACGGGCCCGACUCCUACGGGAGGCAGCAGUAAGGAAUAUUGGUCAAUGGACGCAAGUCUGAACCAGCCAUGCCGCGUGGAGGAUUAAGGCCCUCUGGGUUGUAAACUCCUUUUAUCUGGAAAGAAAUGCCAGUUUUCUAAUUGGUUUGACGGUACCAGAGGAAUAAGCACCGGCUAACUCCGUGCCAGCAGCCGCGGUAAUACGGAGGGUGCAAGCGUUAUCCGGAUUCACUGGGUUUAAAGGGUGCGUAGGCGGGCAGGUAAGUCCGUGGUGAAAUCUCUGAGCUUAACUCAGAAACUGCCAUGGAUACUAUUUGUCUUGAAUAUUGUGGAGGUAAGCGGAAUAUGUCAUGUAGCGGUGAAAUGCUUAGAUAUGACAU